GAGUCUAAAAGGAGGAGGCGAAUCGAACGCAAAAAUUAUGGGCCCAGUUUUUGAGAUCUAAAUGAAGUUCGAAAAUCGCCGUUAGGGGCGCUUGUGAUGAUUGGGAUACUAGAAAUACACAGCUUCUUAUGGCAAGAAUAACUAUUUUGUUAUAAAUUAUAGAGCCAAGUUAAUAUUUGGGCAUAUUUUUACCAGAGUUAGCUUUUAGAAACGUGGUUUUUCUAAUUGAGCAAUGUGCGUGGCUAAAAUUGUGAAUACAAACCUUAAAUUUGAGUUUGAAAAUGCAUACACGACCGAAGAAACAUAUAAGCUGCUAAAAUAAAUCUUCCCUAGAACUGUUGUACAAAAAA
This 350-nucleotide long non-coding RNA is filed under the name Sitophilus oryzae (rice weevil). Its description in RNAcentral is "uncharacterized LOC115874559". The record is from RNAcentral. Lineage: Eukaryota; Metazoa; Arthropoda; Insecta; Coleoptera; Curculionidae.